RNAcentral lists this long non-coding RNA (687 nucleotides) under Rosa chinensis. RNAcentral's name for it is "sRNA RchiOBHm_Chr7g0178851". Lineage: Eukaryota; Viridiplantae; Streptophyta; Magnoliopsida; Rosales; Rosaceae. The record is from RNAcentral.
CUGUCUCUUAACUAGCUAGAUCUGUUCCUCUGUCUAGCUUGUGGUAAGUUUCAGCAGAUCCAUCAAGCUCUGAGAAGCUUUAGCUCCUAUCAUGAACCAUGUGUUACUUUAGAUCAUCUUGUUCAGUCUUGUAUCUCUUAGUACGUAUCUCUUCCGGUAGAGAUCGGGUUCAUGCGUAUGAUCUAUUGGCCAUUUGAGAUCUUCAAUGGCAGAUUCAUGUUAGUAGAUCAUUAAAGUAGUCGAUGUCUAGAUAAAUUGAAAUUUGGGGUGGGUUUGAGAUAUUUUUCAUAGAGAUAGCUGCCUUUUGCUCUAGAUUGAGACUCCUGAGAUUAUUUAAACAGUUGUAUGAAUCGAUACCUAAGCAAAACCUCUACUUUGUGAAUUGGGGCCUGUAAACAAUCGUUAUCAUGAUGAAAAAUCCUUGUCAAUCGCUGCAUCCAUGAUGUUAAUCUGUCGUUUCUUUAAUACAAGUUGUUGAACAGUCUUUUUUCAACUAUUUGAAUAAUUACUGGGCUGGCAUUGCAUGGCCUAAUCAGACUUUGGGCCUAGCUUCUUCCAAAAUGCAGUCUUAACUAUUAGAUGGCUGGGGGGGGGGGCAUUGCAUGGCCAAAUUGCAGCUUGGGCCUCGCACCUCCCGUUACGUGAUCUUAGUUAUGUAGAUCCCUUUUAGCUUUGAUGAAAUUUGGU